Mastomys coucha (southern multimammate mouse) is the source of this 1551-nucleotide RNA transcript. It is a transcript of the gene named non-POU domain-containing octamer-binding protein-like, with no coding region annotated. The transcript has 2 exons. The record is from RefSeq and is a predicted model, not a curated record. NCBI's taxonomy places the organism in Eukaryota, Metazoa, Chordata, Mammalia, Rodentia, Muridae.
UUCAAAUAGGUUGCCUUUACUCUGGGCAAAGAACUGUGGGCAGAGGUCGGGGUUAGAGAGGAGUGGGAGGCAGACACUUGACUGUGUUCAAAUUGAAGUCAAGAGUGCAAGAAUGCAGAGCAAUAAAACCGUUAAGUUGGAGAAGCAGAAUCAUACCCCAGGAAAGCAUCAUCAAUAUCACCACCACCACCAGCAGCACCAUCAGCAGCAGCAGCAGCAGCAGCAGCAGCAGCAGCAGCAGCCACCCCCACCAAUACCUGCAAAUGGACAGCAGGCCAGCAGCCAGAAUGAAGGCUUGACUAUUAACCUGAAGAAUUUUAGGAAACCAGGAGAGAAGACCCAACAUAGCCUUCUCUUUGUGGGCAAUCUUCCUCCUGAUAUCACUGAGGAGGAAAUGAGGAAACCUUUUGAGAAAUAUGGAAAAGCAGGCGAAGCUUUCAUGCUUAAGGAUAAAGGGUUUGGCUUUAUUCACUUGGGAACACGAGCCCUAGUGGAAAUCGCCAAAGUGGAGCUAGACAGUAUGCCACUCUGUGGAAAGCAGCUGCGAGUGUGUUUUUUCUGUCACAAUGCAUCCCUUACGAUCCGCAACCUUCCUCAGUACGUGUCCAACGAACUGCUGGAAGAAGCCUUUUCCGAGUUUGGCCAGGUGGAGAGGGCUGUAGUCAUUGUGGAUGAGCGAGGAAGGCCCUCGGGGAAAGGCAUUGUUGAGUUCUCAGGGAAGCCAGCUGCUCGGAAAGCUCUGGACAGAAGCAGCGAAGGCUCCUUCUGAAUCACAUUUCCUCGGUCUGUGACUGUGGAGCCUAUGGACCAGUCAGAUGAUGAAGAGGGACUUCCAGAGAAGCUGGCUAUAAAAAAAAAAAAAAACCAGCAAUUUCACAAGGAGAGAGAACAGCCACCCAGAUUUGCACAACCUAGGUCCUUUGAGUAUGAGUGUGCCAUGCACUGGAAGACACUCAUUGAGAUGGAGAAGCAACAGCAGGAUCAAGUGGACCCGAACAUCAAGGAGGCUUGUGAGAAGCUGGAGAUGGGAGAUGGAGGUGGCACACUAUGAGCUCCAGGUUAUGCUAAUGAGGCAGGAUUUGAUGAGACGUCAAGAAGAGCUUCGGAGGAUGGACGAACUGCAUAACCAAGAGGUUCAGAAACGAAAGCAGUUAGAACUCAGGCAGUAAGAGGAACUCCGGCGCCAUGAGGAAGAGAUGCAGCGACAACAAGAAGAAAUGAUGUGACAACAGCAGGAAGGACUCAAGGGAACCUUCCCUGAUGCGAGAGAACAAGAGAUACAGAUGGGCCAAAUGGCUAUGGGAGGUGCUGUGGGCAUAAACAAUAGAGGUGCCAUGCCCCCUGCUCCUGUACCACCUGGUAUUCCAGCUCCUCCAGGGCCUGCCACUACGAUGCCAGAUGGAACCCUUGGAUUGACCCCACCAACAGCCGAAUGUUUCAGCCAAGCUGCUACAAUGGAAGGAAUUGGAGCAAUUGGUGGAACUCCUCCUGCAUUCAAUCGUCCAGCUCCCGGGAGCUGAAUGUGCUCCAAAUAAAUGCCGCCGGUAUUAG